GAUGAACGCUGGCGGCGUGCCUAAUACAUGCAAGUCGAACGAAACUUCUUUAUCACCGAGUGCUUGCACUCACCGAUAAAGAGUUGAGUGGCGAACGGGUGAGUAACACGUGGGCAACCUGCCCAAAAGAGGGGGAUAACACUUGGAAACAGGUGCUAAUACCGCAUAACCAUAGUUACCGCAUGGUAACUAUGUAAAAGGUGGCUAUACUACCGCUUUUGGAUGGGCCCGCGGCGCAUUAGCUAGUUGGUGGGGUAAAGGCUUACCAAGGCAAUGAUGCGUAGCCGAAUUGAGAGGUUGAUCGGCCACAUUGGGACUGAGACACGGCCCAAACUCCUACGGGAGGCAGCAGUAGGGAAUCUUCCACAAUGGGCGAAAGCCUGAUGGAGCAACGCCGCGUGGGUGAAGAAGGUCUUCGGAUCGUAAAACCCUGUUGUUAGAGAAGAAAGUGCGUGAGAGUAACUGUUCACGUUUCGACGGUAUCUAACCAGAAAGCCACUGCUAACUACGUG
RNAcentral lists this ribosomal RNA (512 nucleotides) under uncultured bacterium. RNAcentral's name for it is "partial 16S ribosomal RNA". It matches the Rfam family "Bacterial small subunit ribosomal RNA", at positions 28 to 507 of the family's 1533-position model. The record is from RNAcentral.